RNAcentral lists this ribosomal RNA (453 nucleotides) under antibiotic-resistant bacterium RO3. RNAcentral's name for it is "bacterial SSU rRNA". It matches the Rfam family "Bacterial small subunit ribosomal RNA", at positions 64 to 510 of the family's 1533-position model. The record is from RNAcentral. Lineage: Bacteria; Pseudomonadati; Pseudomonadota; Gammaproteobacteria; Vibrionales; Vibrionaceae.
UAUCUGAACCUUCGGGGAACGAUAUCGGCGUCGAGCGGCGGACGGGUGAGUAAUGCCUGGGAAAUUGCCCUGAUGUGGGGGAUAACCAUUGGAAACGAUGGCUAAUACCGCAUAAUAGCUUCGGCUCAAAGAGGGGGACCUUCGGGCCUCUCGCGUCAGGAUAUGCCCAGGUGGGAUUAGCUAGUUGGUGAGGUAAGGGCUCACCAAGGCGACGAUCCCUAGCUGGUCUGAGAGGAUGAUCAGCCACACUGGAACUGAGACACGGUCCAGACUCCUACGGGAGGCAGCAGUGGGGAAUAUUGCACAAUGGGCGCAAGCCUGAUGCAGCCAUGCCGCGUGUGUGAAGAAGGCCUUCGGGUUGUAAAGCACUUUCAGUCGUGAGGAAGGUAGUGUGUUUAAUAGAUGCAUUAUUUGACGUUAGCGACAGAAGAAGCACCGGCUAACUCCGUGCCA